Molecule: long non-coding RNA, 1120 nt
Filed under: Vigna radiata
Lineage: Eukaryota; Viridiplantae; Streptophyta; Magnoliopsida; Fabales; Fabaceae
Description: long non-coding RNA (VRAD_LNC015039)
Source: RNAcentral
ACACAAAAUUCAUUCAUACACUUUGCCUAGCAUCAUGACCACAAUCAUAAUUCAUCACACAUCUAUUUCACAGCAUAUUAACAUGCAUUGUAACUCAAUUCUCAUCCACAUCAAAUAAUCAUCAAAUAGCUCCAUCAUGCAUAUCGGUCAGUCAAACAUUUUCAGAACAAGAAUUAAAGCCAAGAGUACACACCAAAUUUCAAAUUCAACCUAUUCUAGGAAUUUAAAAUGCAAAAGUGUAAGAAGAAAUCUAGGUUGCCUCCUAGUCAGUAAGUGCAAUACCUCCCAUCACCCAUCAGUAGGUGUGCCUUCUUGGAAUCCUUUAGUGGAUUCAAAAAUUUUCUAGCAUCCCUCAGUAGAUGCUAUCAUUACCGCCAUCAGAAGCAGUGCAUAACCCAAAAAUAAAAUAAAAUAAAAUAAAAAAUAAAAAUAAAAUAAAAUAAAAUAAAAUAAAGUGACAUAAAAUAAAAUCAAAUCAAAUAAGAUAAAAUCAAAUAAAAUAAAAUCAAAUCAAAUAAAAUCAAAUCAAAUCAAAUCAAAUGAAAUAAAAUAAAAUCAAAUAAAAUAUAAUCAAAUCACAUCAAAUAAAAUAAAAUCAAAUUAAAUCAAAUAAAAUCAAAUAAAAUAAAAUCAAAUAAAAUAAAAUCAAACACCCAUCAGUAGGGGUUGAUACUCCUCUUUCUUGAUAUUCUUUUCUUUUUCUUCUUCCUGCUGAAUUUCUUCAUAAAAUUAAGAACACCAAGCACCUGUUUCCAUGUUUCAAUCAUAGGAACUUUAAUCUCCANUUUCUUGAAGAUCUCCAUAAAGCUCAAAAAUUUAUUUUCCUUCCUAUGAUAUUUCUUUUUAUGAGGCAGGGGUUUUUCACAAGAUCUUUUCUUUUUACCUCUCUUCCUUUUCUUCUCUUUCCUCAACUUUCCUAUUUUCUCUUUUCUUUUUUUUUUCUUUUUUUUUGAAUAUUUUUUCUUUUUUUCUUUUUUCUUAACCACUGUUUUUUCUCCCUCAUCAUCUUUAUCUUCCUCAACCAACUCUUCUGUUUCUUCUUCUUUUAAAUCUCUCUCUAUCUCUUCUUCCUCUAUCUUUUCUUCCUUGACAACCUUAUCAUUUUUAGAGAUGGUGGCUU